UGAGUCGAACUACGCCUCGUCGGCUAUUUUGAUGUCGGUCUUUCCUUGCGUCGCUCUCAUCGGUUGCGUAAGGUGGCUGACGAGUUUACCUUGAAAAAAUUAGAGUGCUCAACGCGGGCGCGACGCCUGAAUACUCGUGCAUGGAAUAAUGGAAUAGGAUCUCGGUUCUAUUUUGUUGGUUUUCUGAUCUGAGAUAAUGGUUAAGAGGGACAGACGGGGGCAUUCGUAUCGCUGCGUGAGAGGUGAAAUUCUUGGACCGUAGCGAGACGUCCCACUGCGAAAGCAUUUGCCAAGAAUGUCUUCAUUAAUCAAGAACGAAAGUCAGAGGUUCGAAGGCGAUCAGAUACCGCCCUAGUUCUGACCGUAAACGAUACCAACUAGCGUUCCGUCAGCAGUAAUUACGCCUUGACGGGCAGCUUUCCGGAAACGAAAGUUUUUCGGUUCCGGGGGAAGUAUGGUUGCAAAGCUGAAACUUAAAGAAAUUGACGGAAGGGCACCACCAGGAGUGGAGCCUGCGGCUUAAUUUGACUCAACACGGGAAAACUCACCUGGCCCGGACACCGUGAGGAUUGACAGAUUGAGAGCUCUUUCUUGAUUCGGUGGUUGGUGGUGCAUGRCCGUUCUUAGUUGGUGGAGUGAUUUGUCUGGUUUAUUCCGAUAACGAACGAGACUCUAGCCUGCUAAAUAGUCGGCGRAUAGCUUUCAACGUUCGCGAGACUUCUUAGAGGGACAAGCGGUGUUCAGCCGCAUGAAGCUGAGCAAUAACAGGUCUGUGAUGCCCUUAGACGUCCAGGGCUGCACGCGCGCUACACUGGAGGAAUCAACGUGCUAUGUCCGUUGUCGAGAGGCGACGGUAACCGAUUGAAAAUCCUCCGUGCUCGGAAUCGGGAAUUGCAAUUAUUUCCCUUGAACGAGGAAUUCCUAGUAAGUGUGAGUCAUCAGCUCACGCUGAUUACGUCCCUGCCCUUUGUACACACCGCCCGUCGCUGCCCGGGACUGAGCCGUUUCGAGAAAAGCGGGGACCGCUGCCGUCGGAGUUUGCGAGUUUGCGAGUUCGAUGGACGCCAGAAACCGCCUUAAUCGCAGUGGCUUGAACCG
Molecule: ribosomal RNA, 1098 nt
Filed under: Philometra australiensis
Lineage: Eukaryota; Metazoa; Nematoda; Chromadorea; Rhabditida; Philometridae
Description: SSU rRNA
Source: RNAcentral